AAAUGUUUCUGUUUCCUGCUUGGUUUGUACCUUAGAAUUAUCAGGCACAUCAAGAUUGGUCUCUCUGGAGGACUUUCUGGGGGUAUCGGGGAAGUUUAUUGUGAGCUCCCACACCUUAAUUGAAUGGGUUGGAGCCUGGAUUCUUUAACAAAGGCUUCUUUUCUCCAAAAAUAUGAAUUAGUGACUGAAGUUAAUGAGAUGUCAGCAAAGAGCUGGUUCACUGCUUCAUUAUCCCAGUUUAAUGCAGGUGUCACUCCGCUGGUUUCAAGAGUUAUACUGGUUAAAAUUGGGGUAAUAGUUGUGAAUCAGCCCCAGCGCGAGUCUAAAGAUCACUUCCUUUCUCAGUGGCUCAAAUUUUCACUCUUGGGUUUUUUUUAAUGUUAUUUCACUGGUUCUUCAUUCACCAUAGAGUCUUCCAGCCUAGACAAGACCUGAAUUACAAAUGUUCAAGCUGGUUCAGAUGCAGGGAUUCUAGUUCAAUCCUACUAGUUUUUACCAUUGUGAUCAAAUCUGCAGCCACUUCAUGCACAGCACGCCCAACAAAUUCAGCAGGAAGCAAAGAAGUUCUGUGAUGGUGAGAGAGAUGGACUUGUCAAAUAGCUCCUCUGGGGUGUGUCCUCUCUCCAAGCAGGUGGUUGACCACAUGUUCUGCUCCGGCCUCCCAAAGCAUCCUCUCAUUGUGAUGCAUAUGUAGAUGCUCCAGGGAUGCAAGGCGUCUGAAAUCUCUGUUCAUGGGCUCCCAGAUCCUACCCUUUACCAUGCUUCUUACACUGCUAAUGGGGCCUUCUGCACUUGCAGAAAGAUGCAGCUCCUGCCCCAUUAGAAUUAUUAUUAAUAGUGCACAGAGCUUUACAGACAGCCCUACCCCAAGGUGCUUAUCAUCUAACUACCAUGGAAAUCAUCCCUAGAUACUACAAUUUAUCUGGACCACUGCCUCCUCCCCCUCACUCCCUGGUGUUCUACAUCUCAGCAGUAUUUAUCUUGGCAUCAAUUCACUUAGUCCAGCCUCUAGUAUUUAAGUGCAAACCCUGCAUUCCUACCAGCAACAGGCUAACCUUGUUUUCAGAAACUUGCAAGGUGCUUAUUGAGCUUUGACUUGCAUGGACUAACCAGAUGACCGUCCCUGGCCUUCAGACCCCGCUGAGGGGGGGAGAACGAGGUAGGCGGGAGGAAAGAGGCUCUCAUGCUUCAUUUCCCCUGAUUAAGUUACUUGCCAGUUUCCAGCUCCAUCCAGAUCUGUCGUUUGUCCUUGACCGUUUGAGGAGAGAUGCAAUUUACCAUAGCCCUGGGAGUUCAUGCUCAUAUUUCUUGACAACCAAGACGCCUGAUGGAGCUGCCCUCUGUGUAAACCAGGUAGUCACUCCCACAAAUACGCUGACUACUUUGUCGAUAGAGGGAAUGUUCAAAUACUUCCGGAAGCGCUUUGCCAGCCAUCUGACGGAACGCAGUCGCCGAAGAGCAAGGCUGGUAUCUAAAGAUGGAAGGUGUAACAUAGAGUUUGGGAACGUGGAAGAACAGUCACGGUUUGUCUUCUUGAUUGAUAUAUGGACCACCAUCCUGGACCUAAGAUGGAGAUACAAGAUGACCAUCUUCAUCUCAGCAUUCUUAGGCAGUUGGUUCCUAUUUGGUCUCCUUUGGUACGUUGUGGCAUAUAUACAUAAAGAUCUUCCUGAAUUCAGUCCUUCGAUAAACCAUACCCCAUGUGUGGAGAACAUAAACGGCUUGACCUCUGCUUUCCUGUUCUCCCUGGAAACCCAGGUUACCAUUGGCUAUGGCUUCCGGUGUGUCACAGAGCAGUGUGCCACUGCCAUUUUUCUGCUGAUCUUCCAGUCUAUUCUUGGGGUCAUCAUCAACUCUUUCAUGUGCGGUGCUAUCUUGGCCAAGAUUUCGAGGUCCAAGAAACGGGCCAAGACCAUCACCUUCAGCAAGAAUGCUGUCAUUAGCAAACGAGGCGGCAAGCUGUGCCUCCUUAUCCGGGUGGCCAACCUUAGGAAGAGUCUACUGAUUGGGAGCCACAUCUAUGGGAAGCUUCUGAAGACGACCAUCACUCCAGAAGGGGAGACUAUCAUCUUGGACCAGGUCAACAUAGAAUUUGUGGUGGAUGCUGGCAAUGAGAACCUCUUCUUCAUCUCCCCCUUAACUAUUUACCACGUCAUUGAUAGGACAAGCCCGUUCUUCCGCAUGUCAGUGGAAACCAUCCUCCAGCAGGAUUUUGAGCUAGUGGUAUUUUUAGAUGGCACAGUGGAAGCCACUAGUGCUACCUGUCAGGUCAGGACAUCCUAUAUCCCAGAGGAGGUACUCUGGGGCUACCGCUUUGCUCCCAUCGUGUCCAAGACCAAGGAAGGGAAGUAUAGAGUAGACUUCCACAACUUCAGCAAGACUGUGGAAGUAGAGACUCCUCACUGUGCCUUUUGCCUCUACAAUGAGAAGGAUGCUAAAGCCAAGGCAAAGAGAGGUUACGACAACCCUGGCUUCAUCCUAUCAGAAGUCAAUGAAACCAGCGACACAAAAAUGUAGCUCUGUAUGCUCAUGGGACUGGGGCAUUUUUUGUCGUAACACAAACUCAAUACGGAGAUGCCCAAUAACCUAGUAGCGCAGAAGAAAAAUGAAUAGGGCUGUUUUGACAUGAAAAUAGCUCCUGAUUUCUCAAAAGAAUUAAAUCAAAUCAGAAUACCACACCAGUGAUCUCUGGGAGGCUAUUUAACUGCACUAUAUAUAUAUAUUUUCAUAGAAUGUAUAUUUUUUUAUACCUAUGGGAUGUUCAUUUAAGUUGCUAAAUUGGAAUGUCCGACUCACUCAAUGAAGUUCCCAGAUGCAUUUGAGCCAUAAGCAAGUCUGACAACAUGCCUUAAAAGAAGAGACAUAGGGAGGGCUCCAGAUAUGCUGAAGAGGAGCGGUUCUUGGAUGAAAUGUGAAAAGAAGAGAUAACAGGUACUCAUAUGACACCCACCACCCUGUAUUUGAGUACUUCACAACCUUCAGCCUCUCCACAUCUCUGGGAGACUGGAUGACUCGUAGACUAUUUCAAGAUGGCCGUACUAACACUUCCUGUAAGGAGGCUCAUGAGAAUCCAUUUUCGCAUGAGCAUUCAACACCUUCUCCCUCUGCGAACAGAACACGUGCUUGUGCAAAUGUAACCCACAUUAAUGCCAAGGUGGGUCUUUGUCCCCCUCUUGUGGCUGGGCCAUGUAAAGAGGUUUACGAGAUUGCAACAGCCUCGAUGCUAAUCAACCUUGUCUGUUAGCUCAAGCAAGAGAUGCUCAUGAUCUUGCUCCUAUUACCAGAGGUCUGUAGAUGACUUGAUUAGGGAGUCAUUGUGUAAACAUAGCAAGCCUGCAAAUGGUGUCCACAGAAGCUAGCUAAGAGCUUAAGCAAUUUAGGACUUCUACUCUGUGGCGUAGUAUUAAAGUUCCUGGGUUCAAAUCUGGUUAGCUGCUUUGAGGGAGAAGGGUAGAAUGCUUGUGGUGAGCAACUUCAUGCAGUGUCCAAUACCGAAGAAGUGACUUAAUUGUUUGUAUUCAAACAAAGACUAUUUGGCCCUAUCCACCCAGUUUUACUCUUGCAUAGUUCUCCACACCAGCUGCCAUGACCAGCACAGAGGGCAGUGGUGGGAUUUUCAAAAACACUCCAUAUUGGCUCAGCUCUGCUCCCAAUGAAGUCAAUGGAAGAUUGGUCCAACUCAGCUCUGACUAAAGUCAAUGGGUGUUUUACUGCAGAUGCUAACGGAAACAGAAUGAGGCUCCUGCUGAAUGCUUUUUAGAAAUUCCAUCAUGUGUUUAUUAGGAAUGAAUCUCCCCCCUUUUCCUGGGGCCCCACUGCUGUAAUCUCUCUACUUCCCUUCAUUGUCCCUUGGAUUUUGGUGUUGGCUCAUGGCUGACUUUACACCCUAACAAAGAAAGCUACAAAGAAGCUGUGCAGAACACUGAGAGGGCGUCAUUUAGUUGGGAAACCCAACCCGUUGGGAAACCCAAGCAAGACGUAUCACUGCUUGAAGCCUGAUAGGACUUGAUUCUCUUAUUUACGGUGCUUUGAUAGUGGUGUACCUCUGUCGACUUUGUUGGAGAUGCUCCCAAUUUAUAUUGGUGUCAGGGAGGUUAGAAUCCAGCCCGUAGACCCUUCACCACAGUGGCAGAAGCAGCUCCGUUGACUAGCUGUUUCAGAAUCCUUUACACUGCCUGCUGUGGGAUGUCAAAGGAGAUACCAAAGCAGCUGGCACUAAGGAUUUUGGACACUGCACAUGACAAAGCUGAUACAGGGACAUCUCUUUUAAAUGGGGGGAGGGGCGUCAAUAAGCAGCCAAAAGAAAGGGGUUUUGGAUAAGCCUUGUUGGUGGAUGAACAGAGUUGACCGAGUAUUAUAAGUGUUUGAGCCCUCUUAACUUGUGCCUAAGACUGUCCUUGCUUGAAACAUUACAAUACCAGGUUGGGAAAUGAAGUUUAUGGGAUACAGCCGAGCACACACUGGACACAUUUACCUGGUUGGGGCCGUUGCUGUUCUGUAUUCUUAUUCACAGUUUGAGUCCCUGCAACCGGGGGACCUGUAAUAACAGGAAAAGUGAGAUCUUAGAUGUACUGCAAGCAGAGGAGAGGGAACAAAUAGGGAACAAGAUGGAUACAGUGUAUACAUGAACAUGACCAAGCCAGUGGAGAUCGGCAGGAAACAGUUUUGUGGUCAUAUGGGAAUUGUUGAAUUUUCAUACAUAUCUAUUACCCUGAUGAACAGGGAUGAAAAGUCAAAAUCACAAUUUUCAUCAAUGGAAACAUUUUAAAUAAUUUUGAAUCAGGUCCAACUAAAUGCUUCAUUUUGAUCAUUUUGACCUUUUGAGAUUCUUUUUUACUCUCAGUUAACCUAAAUUUUGAAACCAACGGUUGCUUCAAAUUGAAAAAUGGAAUUUUUUGUUUCGAAAAGGGCAAAAUGGGAUGUCAACGAUUUCUCAACUUUUUUCUGGAAUUUUUUUUGAAACGGGAAAUUCGCCAAAUGAGCCUUUCCCAUGAACAAUUUUGGUUUUGGAAAAUCAACAUUUUCUGAAGAAAAAAAAAAGUUUGGUCAAAUAAUUCCCGACCAGCACUACAAAUCAGUUCAACCUUAGCCCUAGCAUCUGCUCCACACAUUCAGAUCCUCACUGAUAACAGAGAUAAUGCUAUAAAACAAAGGAUGGUCUUCCCAUUCUGAGUGAGCAUUUUCCAUAAAGCUCCUAAACAGAAAGUACUGAUUUAGGGCCAAAUUCUGCCAGCCUUACCCCAGCUGAGUAAUAUCUUGCUCAGGGACAACUUGUGGCCCCAGGACAUGUGACACCAGUGAAAGAAGAGCAGAAUAUGCCCCAGUGACAAACAGUUAUACUAGCUAAGAUAAAAAUCGCAUGGGCUAGCAAUCCACCUCCUUCAGGGCAUAAACUUACCAUUUGGGGGCAGCAGGAAAUCCGGCCCCACCCUGUAGUAUUGCAAAAUGAUAUGAAUUAUGAAAAUAAUUAACAACUAGAAUAAUGUGCAUGUCUAUAGGAUCAUCCAUAUGAUGACUUCAAUGUGCUUUACAAAUAUUAAGGGCCAGUAUUUGCUACUCUUUCUCAUGGUGAGUGGCACCUUUCUUCUUUGAGCAGUAGUAAGGUAUUGGAGUACGGCGUUAUUCAUCAUGAUUAAUUGUAUCAGAAUCUGGCCCAACGUAAGGAUGGCUCCAAUGAAUUAAGUCUCACAAGAGACUGGAAGUUAAUAGGGCCUGGAUCCUUACUCAUUCUGAUGCCUGUACAACAAGCAAACCAAACCUUGCCCAACUCAUGACCAUGUUUCGAUCCUCUGCAUCAGAAUUUGCCACCCCAACAUGGCUACUUACUUUUGGUGAGGCUGGAGUUCAUGUUAUUGCCCCAUCCGGCUCUCCUGACCGCAUCAUAGGAAGGAUCUAAUGACAAAUGAAGGAGGAGUUGAGUUCAGACUGCGCCAGGAAGGCUAGACAAGUGGCUAGUUGUGAUUAUUGCUUAGGAAAUUUCACACACGCUUUAGUUACUUUGUUUCCAUGCCCUGGCCUACAUAUGUGUUUCAGCCACCUGUUAUGUAUUGUCCAUUAUAGUGCAAGGGCCUUGGGGCAGGGCCUGUCAUUUUUGAUCUGUCUGUACAGUGCCUGGCACAAUGGGACUCUGACCUCUCUGACCUGUAGGCACUGCCACAAUAUGAAUGUUAAAUAAUAAGACAUGGCAUGGGACAGGUGGAGCUUCGAAAGACAUUGUGCAAGGGGUGGCUGGCAGAGGGUGGGAGCAGGGGUGAGGCCUGGGCCUCCAUCUCCUCCCUGCACAGGUGGUGGUAGUAUGGACCGGGCCUGUGCUUGACUCCUGCGGGGGGCACAAGUUGGCAAUGGAGGGCAGAGAGGAAAACAAAAGCGCUUAGUGCCCUCCACCCCGUUUUGUACACCCGUGCUAGUGUCAGGCACCAUCUGGUCCCAUGGGAAUAGAUGGGGUGGACUGAGGCUAAAUGUAAACUGAACCCAACAAAAUUUGAAUUUCUGUCUAGUCAGAAUCUGCCUCUCAGCUGCCCCCAAUACUCCCAAAUAUCUGUGCCUUCUUUCCACUCCAGAGCCCUUGCUCAUCCUCCUGGCCCAUCGCGAGGCUGCAAUCAGGUGUGCCUUGCACAGCCGCCUGCUCUUCUGCCUCGCUGCUUCUUCUGUCUGCCCUGUGAUUGUGUGGUAUGGCUCUAGGGUGACCAGAUAGCAAGCGUGAAAAAUCAGGACUGAGGGUGGGGGGUAAUUGGCACCUAUAUAAGAAAAAGCCCCAAAUAUUGGGACUGUCCCUAUGAAAUUGGGACAUCUGGUUACCGUACAUGGAUCCCAAGGAGCCUGCCUUAAGAACUGGUAAAUAUCCAGGAAACAGAGGAACUGUUCAUGGUUUAGGAGAGGUUGGACGGAAAGGAAAGUUCACAAUGGAGAUCAUGAAAAACAUCCUGAUGGGGAGCUGUACUGGGCUCCUAAGGGGAAGGGUGGAAGCCCAUGCACUUUAACAGCUGACCUGGGUAAAGCCCUGGAAAAUCUAGGUUUCUGCAGGGAGAGGUACAAGAUGACUUGGUAGAGUAGCUGCCAUUAAAAAGUCAACAUUUCCCAGCACUUAUUAUUGCACGGAGUAUCUGAGAUGCCACAGUUAUUUCCUCACACUUAGAAGAAAGAACCUUGCUAACACUGAAUGGUGACCACAGCAAGUUUUUUCUGUCUCUGACCACUGUGGAUCAUGGGCAGCCUUGAGUUAUGGGUCCAGAUCCACAGUAGGUGUCAAUCAGCGAAGCUCCAUGCCGAUUGACAUCAAGUGAGGAUCUGGCCCAUGACUGAUUUGGAAGCUGCAGGAAACCUUCCAAGGACAUUGAAGGGGCCCUGGAAGGGUGCGGCAAAGCACUGUGUUAGAGAAAGGGGGAAAAACAAUGGGCUCUGAUUUCACAACAAGCAACACUGGUGGGUGAGGAUUGGCUUGGGGCAAAGAUGUGUCAUCGGAAUCCUGCAUUUGAAAUCCCUAGGUUUUUUUAUUGUUAUUGCUGAACAGUUCACAAUCCACGUUUUCCCCAGCCCAUCUUCUCACUCUUGUCCUGGAGUGGCUGGACAGAAAAACCACUCAAGGACCAGACUUAGAGGUAGUGAAGGGACGAGCCAUUAGGUUAUUCAACAUGAAUCAAGCCAGGGCUUUAAACCAAAAAGGAUUCCAAAGUCUCCUUGUGGACAACAAAGAAACCAUAAAAACCACGCUAACCCGCAACAUUAAAAAUAACCAUCAUCCUCAUCAGAAAGCACUUCAACAGAUGAACUGCUGCCCCCCAACUCCUUCCGCAACCCCUCGAGUGAAUAAGAGCCAGGAAGUGGCGCUGCUCAUGCCCUUGUCCAUUCUCAUCGUUUGGGGCUGGAGAAGAGCAAGGAGACCGGAGCGAAUCUCCUUGUGGAAAAAUCCACGUGCACUCGCCCAGUCCAUCUGGCUCUGCAAAAGCCUCUUCAGUUUUUUAAAUUAGUUAUUGGCAUGAAAAGAAAAACAGAAAGAGGGAGUGUGGAGGAGAGCAGAGGGAAGAGAGAGAAAAGGGGGAAAAGGAGCUCAUUUAAUUUGUCCGUUUUUAUUUUUAUUUUACUGUUGUUUGUAAUAGAAACCACAAUCCCUGCUGCAAAUAGGUCAGACUUAAAAACAACCCACUGUGCAUUAAGAAUCCGACAAGACAUCUCUCAAGGACAGAGCCCAGUCUGGGUUUCUUGUUCUUCCAGCGGCAGUGCUGGGGACUGGUUCCCAGCUGCAUUUGGCCAAGUGAACCUUUCUACCCGGCUAAGAGCCAUUGGGGUAAACAAGCAAAGCUGCUAUAUAUGUACCAGUGGAGUUUUCCCCUGCUUGAAACCAUUGGUGGAAAUUGCACCUUGUGCUGUCUACACUAGGGGCUUGCACCAGUGUCAGUAUGGUAGUGGUUGAAAUCAGAGCACAAUAGAUAAGGCUUAAAUUGUAGCCCAUUCCCCUUGUAACCAAAUGGCUUCUUCUUCCCCAUCCUUGGUAGCCAGCCAGUGACUUUCAUUCCUCCCCUUUGAUAAUCCUUGGCAGGUACAUAAAACUGCAUAUUAACUCUAGGCUUUUGGCAUCAUUUGCCAACAAGCUAAGGCCCGGGAGUUCCACUAAAACUGCGACAGGAAGACGGCAGAGUGGCACUGCAGUGGGUGGGCCCAGCUCCAGUUAAAGAAGGAAGGGAGGUGUUUCUGAGAUGCGUCCAGAGAAGUUUUAAGUUUCUUUCAACUUUUCUGGUUCAGCUCGCAACUUGCCACCUUCAGAUCCCAUGAGCUACAGCAUCAUUUCUAGAUUGGGUUAGGGGCCGAAAGCAGAACCUUGCCAAUGCACACGACAUGACUGGCUGAUCCACCGUGAAUCAACACAACAAAAAAGAAAAGAUAACAGUAGAACAUUUUGCGUCUAAAGAUCCCAGGCACUCCAUAGCGGUGGCCUGGAUGAUUAGCCACAUUCUACAGAUGGGGAAACUGAGGUAUGGAGCAGCAAUGGAUGAUUUAGUUGGGAAUUGGUCCUGCUUUGAGCAGGGGGUUGGACUAGAUGACCUCCUGAGGUCUCUUCCAACCCUAAUAUUCCAUGAUUCUAUGAAUGUGACCUGCCCAUGGUCACGUAGAUCCAGAGUGUAGCCCACAUCUCCUGCUUGCCAUUCCAACGCUUUAACUGCAAAUCCGUGCUCACUCUUGCGAUCAAAAAUACUGGAUCAAGACACAGAGGGCCAGAUUCUCAGCAGGUGUAAAUUGGCAUAGCUGCAUUGACUUCUACCGAAUGAGGUUGAUUUACACCUGCUCAGGAUCUGCUCUUGGGCGGAGAGUGCCCAGAAUGACGUUAAAGUCAUUAAUCAUUUUAAAGGUCCCUGUGCUGGUUUCUUUGCACCCUUUUUUCAAGGCAGCUGAUUUGGGAGUGCAAGGGUGGUGUUAUGAUUACAGUAGUGGUCAGAAAACCCAGUUCAAUUCCCCCCUCUCUCCUCCUGUGUGACCUUGGGCAAAUUACUUAGUCUCCCUUUGUCUCGGUUCCCCAUCUACAAAAUGGGGAUAAGAUACUUCUCUGCCUCUCGGGGUGGGUUGUGAGAAUUAAUACCCCAUAAGCCCCUUCAAUGCUAUUGGGAAGGGGGUUGAAUAAGGUUAAUAAAUAGUUCCUCCAUUGUGUGGCACAAGGGGUGAGAGAGUUUCAGCACGACAGCCAGUCAUGCAGGUUUUGCUGUGGAAAACAGCUCACUUGUGCUCUCUCUUAAGCAGUGCAAGUUUCCACCUCUCUCAAAAAACAAAACAAUCAAAUCUGCCAACGUUUUUUUUUUCCUUCUCAAAAAGUUGUGCAAUGUGAACGAACCACAGCAGCCCGGCCAGCUUCUAGUCCCAGACUCUAAAGCUGAACGUGUUUAAAACAAAAUGGAAAAGGCAGAGCCAGGGAACCCAUCCAGAGACUCGGGUUUCUGCAAAAACAAUAUUGUUCCCAGGAUCUGACGCCCAGUGGCUCGAAGAGAUUCUACAGAACUCUGGCCAGACGGUUAGUUAUGCAAAGAGUCGUUAUCUGUCGUAAAGUGGCUCAAUUUUCACACUCAAAUGCUCCAAGCUACAGAGUUUCAAUUUAAAAAUACGAGGCCAGGUCCUCUUCUGGUGUAAAUCAGCAAUUGACUUCAGCUAAGCUAGGCCAGUUUACGCCUGCUGAAGUAAAUUACGCCUGCCCUAGGUCUGGUUUAGACUUAAAAGGCCCAUUUGAACAGCAGCCCUGUGACAAACGUGUAUUCAAUACAAAAUGGAAUUAAAGAGCACAAAAUAAAUCAUAGAUGUUUUCAAGAAA
This is a non-coding RNA of Chrysemys picta bellii (western painted turtle), 10291 nucleotides long. The record is from RefSeq and is a predicted model, not a curated record. Lineage: Eukaryota; Metazoa; Chordata; Testudines; Emydidae.